Gloeophyllum trabeum ATCC 11539 is the source of this 82-nucleotide non-coding RNA. The record is from the annotation of a RefSeq genome assembly. Lineage: Eukaryota; Fungi; Basidiomycota; Agaricomycetes; Gloeophyllales; Gloeophyllaceae.
GCCACCUUGGCUAAGUGGUUACGGCGCUCCGCUUGUAUGUCAUGCGACGGAGAGAUCACUCGUUCGAUCCGGGUAGGUGGCA